Molecule: long non-coding RNA, 6996 nt
Organism: Corythoichthys intestinalis (scribbled pipefish)
Lineage: Eukaryota; Metazoa; Chordata; Actinopteri; Syngnathiformes; Syngnathidae
Exons: 3
Source: RefSeq, a predicted model, not a curated record
CAGAAAAAGUGAUCAAAUCUACUGGGUCAAAAAUAUACACACAUGGAUCUGAAAAAGCGAAUCAUUGACUUGAACAAGUCAGGAAAGUCACUUGGAGCCAUUUCAAAGCAGCUGCAGGUCCCAAGAGCAACAGUGCAAACAAUUGUUUGUAAGUAUAAAGUGCAUGCCACUGUUUUUUCACUGCCACGUUCAGGAAGAAAAUGCAAGCUAUCACCUGCUGCUGAGAGAAAAUUGGUCAGGAGGGUGAAGAUUCAACCGAGAAUCACCAAAAAGCAGAUCUGCCAAGAAUUAGAAGCUGCUGGAACACAGGUGUCAGUGUCCACAGUCAAGCGUGUUUUGCAUCUCCAUGGACUGAGAGGCUGCUGUGCAAGAAGGAAGCCCUUGCUCCAAAAGUGGCUCGACUGAAGUUUGCUGCUAAUCACAUGGACAAAGAUAAGACCUUCUGGAGGAAAGUUCUGUGGUCAGACGAAACAAAAAUCGAGCUGUUUGGCCACAAUGCCCAGCAAUAUGUUUGGAGGAGAAAAGGUGAGGCCUUUAACCCCAAGUACACCAUGCCUACCGUCAAGCACGGUGGUGGUAGUAUUAUGCUGUGGGGCUGUUUUGCUUCCAAUGGAACUGGUGCUUUACAGAGAGUAAAUGGGAUAAUGAAGAAGGAGGAUUACCUUCAAAUUCUUCAAGAUAACCUUACGUCAUCAGCCCGAAGACUGGGUCUUGGGCGCAAUUGGGUGUUCCAACAGGACAAUGACCCCAAACACACAUCAAAAGUGGUAAUGGAAUGGCUAAAUCAGGCUAGAAUUAAGGUUUUCGAAUGGCCUUCCCAAAGUCCUGACUUAAACCCCAUUGAGAACUUGUGGACAAUGCUGAAGAAACAAGUCCAUGUCAGAAAGCCAUCAAAUUUAACUGAACUGCACCAAUUCUGUCAAGAGGAGUGGUCAAAGAUUCAACCAGAAGCUUGCCAGAAGCUUGUGGAUGGCUACCAAAAGCGCCUAAUUGAAGUGAAAAUGGCCAAGGGACAUGUUACCAAAUAUUAGCGCUGCUGUAUGUAUAUUUUUGACCCAGCAGAUUUGAUCACUUUUUUCUGUUCACCCAUAAUAAAGUCAUAAAAGAACCAAACUUCAUGAAUGUUUUUUUGUGACAAAGAAGUAUCUGUUCCAAUCACUCUAUCAGAGAAAAAUCAGAGUUGUAGAAAUAACUGGAAACUCAAGAGAGCCAUGACAUUAUGUUCUUCACAAGUGUAUGUAAACUUUUGACCACAACUGUAUGUCACAGGUAAAUCCCGAAUUUAGCAGGAUAUAAAUCUAAAAGGGACUUUCUUCUUCACGCCUCUGCCUUUUUCUCUAAACAGGCUGAGCACCGUCCCACCAACCUCCACACACACACACACACACACACACACACACACGUACAAGUCGACUGGGACACAGUUUGGGGAAAUAUUUUAUUCAGUCAGUUUUUGUUACAUCAAUAAAAUUUGAAUAAACAACUUGUCCUGAAUGUUUGGGCUAACAUAGCUCACAAAACACAAUACACAAAACUUUAGCAAUUUUAACUUUUUGUUUAAUAUGUGUAUUAAAUUGCUAGUUUUCUUUUUUUAUAGACUAGUCAACUGGUCACAAAUAAAAUCUGAAGCUAGUCGGCAGGGAAAUUAGUAGAAAUUUCGAUCCCUAACUGUUAUGUGGGGAUCGGAGACAGAUCAGUACUUUUAACCCAAUUGGUCGACUUCCUGUUGAUUACAUGAUUCAACAGCUUUUCUUUUAGUUGAGUUGUAGAAAAAAAUAAAACUAUAAACAAAGGCUGCAACGAGGUCAUAAAAUGUGGGCUGUAAUCCUUCACAAUUUAUAAUAGCCCAUAUAUCUACGUAGUGCUCUUCUUUCUGAUAUAGGGUCACAUGGUUGAAUUCCUCUGAUAGUGCCACAUCUGCUGAGACGUCUCAUAACUUGCGUCGGAAUCUGACAGCCUUACCGUUGCUGAAACAAACAUUGACCUAAACUAAGUCCAUAUUUUACACGCGUUGAAAGCCACAUUUGCAUUCCGGCCUCCCAUCCAAGCAGCCGGAGACUAUUACCAUUUCAUUAGCUGACGCUCGCCUACUCUGAAGCCGUUGUUGACUUGUCAUUUUUGGCUUGGCUUACCGCCCUUCUGCUCAGUCGCCUUGGCUGCAAAUUCACUGUCAAUGAGUGAAAAGGUGUUAAGUCACGGCUCACCAAAUAAAAGCGGUGGUAGACGGCUGCAAUGAAGUCAUGACCCGAUGUUUUCCUCACACACCCUGGCACCCGUGUUGUUUAUUGCUCAGGUGCCCCCCCCCCCCACCCCUCAAAAAAAAAAAAAAUAAAUAAAACAGCCAGCCUCGGCCUGGUAUGCUUGUCCAAGGACAGAGAAGAUAAAAAGUCAGGAAACGUUUUUUUGAAAAAGCAACUCAAGAGUUGGCUUCUUUUGGUUCGCAGCUCAUUACUGUCCCCGCCGACUAUCUGCCUUGUGCUUAACUGACCUGCCGACCGCCUCCGUGACGCCUCACUCCAAAAUAUGCUGCUGUCAUUCUCUGAUGAAAUCGGCAUAAUGAUAUAAACCCCAAAAUAUGUCGAGCGUAUCUUUUAUCAUUCCUCCAUUUUUUUGUCUGCUUUGUGCAGCAAUGCGUGUUUUAUUUUCCAUAACCCCCCCCCCCCCCCCCACACACACACACACACACCCUUGUAUUCUGGGGUCAGUAAUGAGCUGCUCUGGUUUCUCUUUCCUGCCACAGGCAUAUUUUCUUUCUCCACAUGCACUACCUCAUCAUUCUCCUUGCUUCUUCCUUACGGUUUCUUCUCUCCCACUUUUAAGAAUGAGCCCCCCGUGCGGCCAUCAUCUGUCUUCGCUGUGUGAAAUAUGUAUGAGUGCUUGUACAUUUGCCCUCCGGCUAGACGCAGGCGGCAUCACCCGUGGCCUCCGAGGCCGGAAUGUUAAAUUGAGAGGCGGUCCCUAUCCAGGAAGCUUUGCGAACCAAAAAUCUGACUGCAACAAGAUUCACUAGUGGUUAUACACUCACCGGCCACUUUAUUAGGUAAACCAUGCUAGUAACGGGUUGGACCCCCUUUUGCCUUCAGAACUGCCUCAAUUCUUCAUGGCAUAGAUUCAACAAGGUGCUGGAAGCAUUCCUCAGAGUUUGGUCCAUAUUGACAUGAUGGCAUCACACAGUUGGUGCAGAUUUGUCGGCUGCACAUCCGUGAUGCGAAUCUCCCAUUCCACCACAUCCCAAAGAUGCUCUAUUGGAUUGAGAUCUGGUGACCGUGGAGGCCAUUUGAGUACAGUGAACUCAUUGUCAUGUUCAAGAAACCAGUCUGAGAUGAUUCCAACAUCAUGACAUGGCGCAUUAUCCUGCUGAAAGUAGCCAUCAGAAGUUGGGUACAUUUUGGUCAUAAAGGGAUGGACAUGGUCAGCAACAAUACUCAGGUAGGCUGUGGCAUUCCAAAGAUGCUCAAUUGGUACCAAGGGGCCCAAAGAGUGCCAAGAAAAUAUUCCCCACACCAUUACACCACCACCACCAGCCUGAACUGUUGAUACAAGGCAGGAUGGAUCCAUGCUUUCAUGUUCUUGACGCCAAAUUCUGACCCUAUCAUCCGAAUGUCGCAGCAGAAAUCGAGACUCAUCAGACCAGGCAACGUUUUUCCAAUCUUCUAUUGUCCAAUUUCGAUGAGCUUGUGCAAAUUGUAGCCUCAGUUUCCUGUUCUUAGCUGAAAGGAGUGGCACCCGGCGUGGUCUUCUGCCACUGUAGCCCAUCUGCCUCAAAGUUCGACGUACUGUGCGCUCAGAGAUGCUCUUCUGCCUACCUUAGUUGUAACGGGUGGUUAUUUGAGUCACUGUUGCCUUUCUAUCAGCUCGAACCAGUCUGGCCAUUCUCCUCUGAACUCUGGCAUCAACAAGGCAUUUCCGCACAAAGAACUGCCGCUCACUGGAUAUUUUUUCUUUUUCGGACCAUUCUCUGUAAACCCUAGAGAUGGUUGUGCGUGAAAAUCUCAGGAGAUCAGCUGUUUCUGAAAUACUCAGACCAGCCCUUCUGGCACCAACAACCAUGCCGCAUUCAAAGUCACUCAAAUCACCUUUCUUCCCCAUACUGAUGCUCGGUUUGAACUGCAGGACAUUGUAUUAAACCAUGUCUACAUGCCUAAAUGCACUGAGUUGCCCCCAUGUGAUUGGCUGAUGAGAAAUUAAGUGUUAACGAGAAGUUAGACAGGUAUACCUAAUAAAGUGGCCGGUGAGUGUACGUCGUAAUAGAACUUCCUGCAGUGUUACAACUUUUUGAAUACAUAGUACUGAAAUGUCACUGUCAUUGCACUGUUAACCCUUUAACACCGAACGUGUCGGAUGCGACACGUUUACGCAUAUCAUUUUUGAAGCCUCGUAACGCUGUAAUUACGUCACGCACAUGCCCCUGGUUGCUCUCAUUUGAAAGUACGGAAGUUGAUGUCCACACCAGUUUUUAUUUGAACUCAAUUGACCAAGUAAAACGGGAGAUAAUGUCAUUUGAGUUUUAUAGUUUUAUUGCACUCAUACAUAUGCAUUAAAACGCUGCAUGGACCAUGUGUCUAUCUCCAUAUUUCCAUAAUUUCUUGUCCUUUUUAAAAACCGAAAGCAGCACAAAAGACUACAUAUCCCAAGAGCCGUUGUGAUGUCAAGAAGGACGAACCUAAUGUGAACAUUUUUAAUAAAUUGCCGAGCUAGGCGCCAACUAAGGAAAAGGAGGCAUGAACACCGGUUGGAUUGCGCGAGCGACUUUGAAACGUGCAGAAUGAAUCGAAAACUAAAUUUAGCGCAAGCUAAUGCAUUUUUUCAUUAACUCAAAGAAUAGGAUGAGCUGUAUUUGUCGUUCUUUUCUUCGGAUUAGUCGGCGUAUCGGCGAGUAGAAGUAACAGCAGCGCUCAAACGGCGAAAGAGUAGGCUGUGUGACAUUGUAUGUGACGCAGCUCAGUGACCUGUUCAAAAACAAACUUUAUUGAGUGCGCAAAAAAAUAUAUAUAUAAAAAAAAAAAAAACUUUAUUGGGUCGCAUGCCUGAAAAAUUGAAUUGAUUGAGCUACUUGUCAAUAUUUUUGAAAAUACUUUUUUUCAAUGUUAUAUAUUUUUUUCUUCACUAUGAAUCUUUUCAAUUUUUAUAUAGAUGUGUGUUCGAGAAGCUUGAUUGCAUUUCAUAUAUACCUUUGAUAAGGUGAUGGGUACAAUACCUAACUUCACAAACCCGUUUUGUAUUGGAUGAUAUAUAAAAAAAAACUCACUAUUUUGCACUGUAUAUAACCUGUUUUGACCAUAGUAUGUGUAAAGGCCAAAAACGCCUAUUACCAUACCUGCUGCUUGUGUUGAAUUGUCAAACAUAAAACUAUUCAAUCUUAUAUUUUUCUAUUGAAUGUUUAUCCUAGCAAGUUAAAUGAAUAUUAUCAAGCUUCAAAACGGUUGGUUGAGCACAUUUGGUUGUCAGUGGGACAUCAACAUUACAAAUUUAAAAAACAGAUUUUGGGAUUCUUUUGUCUUUUGGGUCCAAAAUUUGGAUUAAAAUUGGUCAGUGAAGACAACAAACAGUUUGGACAUGAAGUUCAAGGUAUCCUGGAAAAAAGGGACCCGACUUGGCCAUUGUGAACAAUUUUUUCUUUGAAAUAUAAAGGCAACAUCAAAGGCAUGCAAAUUCGGCCAAAAUAGGCUUAGGUGUUAAAGGGUUAACAGAUAUCCAGGGUUUUCCCUACACUGUAAAUGCUAACAUUCAAAUUAAUUAAAUGUGAUAAGUGAACUAAACUCAAUUUUCAUCAACCUGUUGUGAACACUACUUUUAAAUAAGUAAGUAGUAAUUUGGGGUUGGAGAACUUGCUGAACUUGAUAUAUCCAAGUUAAGUCAAAUUAGAAAAAAUAAUUUCUUGUACCCAGUGUCCUUUGGGCGUUCUAUCAGACAUGCGCAGAUCUGCCCUGCCCACUUUCGCGCUCUUUCCAACACCUUUCUCAGUUAUUUUCGCCAUUGUGGGUUUACUUGUCCUCAGCACACUGAUUUGGCACUGCUGCAAUCGUCACACUUUUUCUGUUACAAACUGACCCGGCCCCUCAUCAGAGAAGGGAAAAGUCAUGUGGCCUUCACAGGAAAAGGUUUGGGGACCCCUGCUUUAGAGUGUUUGUCAUCUGCCCUUCCAUUUGCUUUUCUUCAUGUGCAGUGCUCCCCCUCCAUGUUUGAUCAAACUGCACUGAAAAUUUGAAAUUGUUUUAAAAUGCAUUAAUCGCAAAAAUCAGAGGACUAGAUCACAUUUCCCCCAGUUAUUUCACCACUUUAACUUUGGUCUAACCUAAUAUAGGAAUACAGAUAGAAAGAGUGCAGAGAUCACACUCGACGCCAUAACAACCUGGUGUGUUUAAGGUUGGUCAUUUAUGUGCCUAUAUUUUGAAAUUGUUGCCUUAAUUUUGUGUUCUUUUUCACCAUCCCCCAAUCAGGCUGAAGCAAAUGGUCAAAAGUCCACACAUACCUCAGUCUCAGCAAUUACAGGUCAACCAAAGCAGUAUUCUCUAAUGCAGUGGACUUGCAAGUACUGCACAUUUUCUGCUGAAAAGAGCCUACUUGCUUAAGCAUUACCGCUUAAAACAUGGAUACCACACUCGGACAUCCCUACUCCCAUGUCUUCAUAAGGACUGCCUCUGCACAUUUAAAUCUUUUAAUGCACUCAAAGUACACCUAUCGACAUGGCACUCUCAAAAAGAUGCAGGCAAAAGUGGAGAAACUGCAUUUGACCGUCAGUUGUGCAACUUUGUGGAGCCCUGCUCAGGAGCAGACUUCUUUACCCAUUUGCGAGGACAUCUUAAGCUGAGGCAAAUGGUUACUUGCCCAUAUCAAGACUAACUUUCAGAGCAGUAUUUAUUCGACCUUCACUGCACACAAAAGCAAAGAAAUGUGAAAUGUGUUUGAGCCAUAGUGUGGGUAGGACAUUUGUGUCUAAAUCAUUUAAUCCCAAUAAAAGUUGCUUUAAUAAAAAAAAACUUAUUUUUAAUCAAA